CCUACGGGUGGCAGCAGUGAGGAAUAUUGGUCAAUGGGCGCGAGCCUGAACCAGCCAUGUAGCGUGAAGGAUGACUGCCCUACGGGUUGUAAGCUUCUUUUAUAAAGGAAUAAAGUGAGGCACGUGUUCCUUUUUGUAUGUACUUUAUGAGUAAGGAUCGGCUAACUCCGUUCCAGCAGCCGCGGUAAUACGGAGGAUGCGAGCGUUAUCCGGAUUUAUUGGGUUUAAAGGGAGCGUAGAUGGGUUGUUAAGUCAGUUGUGAAAGUUUGCGGCUCAACCGUAAAAUUGCAUUUGAUACUGGCAGUCUUGAGUACAGUUGAGGUAGGCGGAAUUCGUGGUGUAGCGGUGAAAUGCUUAGAUAUCACGAAGAACCCCGAUUGCGAAGGCAGCUUACUAAACUGUGACUGACAUUGAUGCUCGAAAGUGUGGGUAGCAAACAGGAUUAGAUACCCUUGUAGUC
RNAcentral lists this ribosomal RNA (460 nucleotides) under uncultured bacterium. RNAcentral's name for it is "partial 16S ribosomal RNA". It matches the Rfam family "Bacterial small subunit ribosomal RNA", at positions 338 to 795 of the family's 1533-position model. The record is from RNAcentral.